GUCCUUAGAUUACUAGAGUUUCCCUUUCUUUGGAGGCUUUCCUGGUAUACACAUAACUACUUUCUCUCUUCCCCAUUAGCCCAGAUAUACUGGCACCAGGGGUAUGUAUAUGCCCAGCACUCUGGUUCUCACUGUGUCACUGCAGUCUCCCCCAGGUCCACCCACUACUUUACGUUUGUCAUCUAACGCCUUCUAAUGUACAAUAUAUACUAACUGAUGUUCAGUAUGGUCUUGUCUAAUGAUUGGGUGCACGGCCGAAGAGCUAUUCCAUCUUGUUAUCCAGUCUGGAUAAAGGUUAGGUGAUAUCAUUUAAGAAGUUCAGGCUACUCUGUAACUAGCCAUAAAAUACCAUAUUGAUGAGAUAGUUCCUGGAGAAAUUGACAUAUUGUAGGGGGAUGUCUCUG
Non-coding RNA from Pelobates cultripes (western spadefoot toad), 404 nucleotides. NCBI's taxonomy places the organism in Eukaryota, Metazoa, Chordata, Amphibia, Anura, Pelobatidae. The record is from the annotation of a GenBank genome assembly.